RNAcentral lists this ribosomal RNA (867 nucleotides) under uncultured Bacteroidota bacterium. Its description in RNAcentral is "bacterial SSU rRNA". It matches the Rfam family "Bacterial small subunit ribosomal RNA", at positions 62 to 917 of the family's 1533-position model. Lineage: Bacteria; Pseudomonadati; Bacteroidota. The record is from RNAcentral.
UCGAGGGGCAGCGGUAAGAGAGCUUGCUCUCUUAGCCGGCGACCGGCGCACGGGUGAGUAACACGUAUGCAACCUGCCCUUGUCAGGGGGACAACCCGGCGAAAGCCGGGCUAAACCCGCGUAUAUUUAUCCGGGGCAUCCCGGAUAGAGGAAAGGCUACGGCCGGACAAGGAUGGGCAUGCGGCGCAUUAGGUAGUCGGGGGUGUAACGGACCACCGAGCCGACGAUGCGUAGGGGUUCUGGGAGGAAGGCCCCCCACACUGGUACUGAGACACGGACCAGACUCCUACGGGAGGCAGCAGUGAGGAAUAUUGGUCAAUGGCCGGAAGGCUGAACCAGCCAAGCCGCGUGGAGGAUGAAGGCGCUAAGCGUCGUAAACUUCUUUUGUUGAGGGACAAAAUCCGUCACGAGUGACGGACUGAGGGUACUCAAAGAAAAAGCAUCGGCUAACUCCGUGCCAGCAGCCGCGGUAAUACGGAGGAUGCGAGCGUUAUCCGGAUUUAUUGGGUUUAAAGGGUGCGUAGGCGGACUGUUAAGUCAGCGGUAAAAGUCCGGAGCUCAACUCCGGCGAGCCGUUGAAACUGGUGGUCUUGAGUUGGAGAGAAGUAUGCGGAAUGCGCAGUGUAGCGGUGAAAUGCAUAGAUAUUGCGCAGAACUCCGAUUGCGAAGGCAGCAUACCGGUUCCAUACCGACGCUGAGGCACGAAAGCGUGGGGAUCAAACAGGCUUAGAUACCCUGGUAGUCCACGCAGUAAACGAUGAAUGCUGGCUGUUCGGGCCGAUUGAGGUUUGAGUGGCGAAGCGAAAGCGAUAAGCAUUCCACCUGGGGAGUACGCCGGCAACGGUGCAACUCAAAGGAAUUGACGGA